This 341-nucleotide small nuclear RNA is filed under the name Saimiri boliviensis boliviensis (Bolivian squirrel monkey). Its description in RNAcentral is "7SK RNA (ENSSBOG00000001853.1)". It matches the Rfam family "7SK RNA". From Rfam's summary of the family: 7SK was discovered as an abundant small nuclear RNA in the mid-70s but a possible function has only recently been suggested. Two independent studies have found that 7SK RNA binds the CDK9/cyclin T complex (known as elongation factor P-TEFb). Lineage: Eukaryota; Metazoa; Chordata; Mammalia; Primates; Cebidae. The record is from Rfam by way of RNAcentral.
GGAUGUGAGGGCAAUCUGGCUGCAACUCUGUCACCUCACUGAUCACCAGGGUUGAUUCAGCUAACACAGCUGGCUAGGCGGCUGUCCCCUUCCUGCCCCAGCGCUCCGUGUGCAUCCCUCCUGAAGCUGCAUGCUUAGUUAAAGAGGACGGCCAUCCCUGAUACAGGAGGAUAGGACUGAUUUUUGGUCAAGGGUAUAUGAGUAGCUGCGCUCCCCUGCUAGAGCCUUUAAAUAAGCUCUCAAGAAGCUUGAAUGCUUAAUCCUGAUUAUGUUAAAGACAGAACAAUCACAGAGAAGAAAAAAGAAAAACAAAACCUCUGAAUCUUGGGAUGGGAACAUCU